AGAGUUUGAUUCUGGCUCAGAACGAACGCUGGCGGCGUGGAUAAGACAUGCAAGUCGAACGGGAGAAUUGCUAGCUUGCUAAUAAUUCUCUAGUGGCGCACGGGUGAGUAACACGUGAGUAACCUGCCCCCAAGAGUGGGAUAGCCCCGGGAAACUGGGAUUAAUACCGCAUAAAAUCGCAAGAUUAAAGCAGCAAUGCGCUUGGGGAUGGGCUCGCGUCCUAUUAGUUAGUUGGUGAGGUAACGGCUCACCAAGGCGAUGACGGGUAGCCGGUCUGAGAGGAUGUCCGGCCACACUGGAACUGAGACACGGUCCAGACACCUACGGGUGGCAGCAGUCGAGAAUCAUUCACAAUGGGGGAAACCCUGAUGGUGCGACGCCGCGUGGGGGAAUGAAGGUCUUCGGAUUGUAAACCCCUGUCAUGUGGGAGCAAAUUAAAAAGAUAGUACCACAAGAGGAAGAGACGGCUAACUCUGUGCCAGCAGCCGCGGUAAUACAGAGGUCUCAAGCGUUGUUCGGAAUCACUGGGCGUAAAGCGUGCGUAGGCGGUUUCGUAAGUCGUGUGUGAAAGGCGGGGGCUCAACCCCCGGACUGCACAUGAUACUGCGAGACUAGAGUAAUGGAGGGGGAACCGGAAUUCUCGGUGUAGCAGUGAAAUGCGUAGAUAUCGAGAGGAACACUCGUGGCGAAGGCGGGUUCCUGGACAUUAACUGACGCUGAGGCACGAAGGCCAGGGGAGCGAAAGGGAUUAGAUACCCCUGUAGUCCUGGCAGUAAACGGUGCACGCUUGGUGUGCGGGGAAUCGACCCCCUGCGUGCCGGAGCUAACGCGUUAAGCGUG
This 840-nucleotide ribosomal RNA is filed under the name human gut metagenome. RNAcentral describes it as "bacterial SSU rRNA". It matches the Rfam family "Bacterial small subunit ribosomal RNA", at positions 8 to 868 of the family's 1533-position model. The record is from RNAcentral.